RNAcentral lists this microRNA precursor (52 nucleotides) under Bos taurus (domestic cattle). RNAcentral describes it as "mir-1302 microRNA precursor family". It matches the Rfam family "mir-1302 microRNA precursor family". Lineage: Eukaryota; Metazoa; Chordata; Mammalia; Artiodactyla; Bovidae. The record is from Rfam by way of RNAcentral. RNAcentral also lists the same sequence under 2 other names.
AUUUUAGUAUAAAUAUGUCCCAUGCAAGAUUUAGGAUAUACUUACGCUAAAA